This 175-nucleotide long non-coding RNA is filed under the name Gorilla gorilla gorilla (western lowland gorilla). RNAcentral's name for it is "lncRNA (ENSGGOG00000044527.1)". The record is from RNAcentral. Lineage: Eukaryota; Metazoa; Chordata; Mammalia; Primates; Hominidae.
CCGGAAGGGAGCCAAGCUUGAGCCAUCUUGAUGGGAUGCAGCACACUAGACGGUACCACCAGAGGCUUGGAAAAGGCCAACUGGAUGCCUGAUGACCACAUUAACCUCUCCUCAUUUGAGUUAUUAAUUGCACGUUCUGUCCAAUCCCUUUGGUGUGGCUUCCAAGGAGACAGUC